This 511-nucleotide ribosomal RNA is filed under the name uncultured bacterium. RNAcentral's name for it is "partial 16S ribosomal RNA". The record is from RNAcentral.
GGAGUUAGCCGGUGCUUCUUCUGCGAGUAACGUCACAGAUGUAAGGUAUUAACUUACACCCUUUCCUCCUCGCUGAAAGUGCUUUACAACCCGAAGGCCUUCUUCACACACGCGGCAUGGCUGCAUCAGGGUUUCCCCCAUUGUGCAAUAUUCCCCACUGCUGCCUCCCGUAGGAGUCUGGGCCGUGUCUCAGUCCCAGUGUGGCUGAUCAUCCUCUCAGACCAGCUAGGGAUCGUCGCCUAGGUGAGCCUUUACCUCACCUACUAGCUAAUCCCACCUGGGCUUAUCCAUCAGCGCAAGGCCCGAAGGUCCCCUGCUUUCCCCCGUAGGGCGUAUGCGGUAUUAGCAGUCGUUUCCAACUGUUAUCCCCCANAAAUGGGCAAAUUCCCAGGCAUUACUCACCCGUCCGCCGCUCGUCAUCUUCAAAAGCAAGCUUUUGAAAUGUUACCGCUCGACUUGCAUGUGUUAGGCCUGCCGCCAGCGUUCAAUCUGAGCCAGGAUCAAACUCUGA